AGAGUGAACGCUGGCGGUAGGCCUAACACAUGCAAGUCGAACGGCAGCACAGUAGGAGCUUGCUCUUACGGGUGGCGAGUGGCGGACGGGUGAGGAAUACAUCGGAAUCUACCUUUUGGUGGGGGAUAACGUAGGGAAACUUACGCUAAUACCGCAUACGCCCUUCGGGGGAAAGCCGGGGACCAGCAAUGGCCUGGCGCUGAUAGAUGAGCCGAUGUCGGAUUAGCUAGUUGGUGAGGUAAUGGCUCACCAAGGCGACGAUCCGUAGCUGGUCUGAGAGGAUGAUCAGCCACACUGGAACUGAGACACGGUCCAGACCUCCGUACGGGAGGCAGCAGGUGGGGAAUAUUAGGACAAGUGGGCGACAAAGCCUGACUCCGAGACCAUACCCGGCGGUGGGUAGAAAGAACGG
Molecule: ribosomal RNA, 412 nt
Filed under: uncultured soil bacterium
Lineage: Bacteria
Description: bacterial SSU rRNA
Rfam family: Bacterial small subunit ribosomal RNA
Source: RNAcentral